RNAcentral lists this ribosomal RNA (396 nucleotides) under uncultured bacterium. RNAcentral's name for it is "partial 16S ribosomal RNA". It matches the Rfam family "Bacterial small subunit ribosomal RNA", at positions 363 to 776 of the family's 1533-position model. The record is from RNAcentral.
UUUGGACAAUGGGGGAAACCCUGAUCCAGCCAUCCCGCGUGUAUGAUGAAGGCCUUCGGGUUGUAAAGCUCUUUUGCCAGGGACGAUAAUGACGGUACCUGGAGAAUAAGCCCCGGCAAACUUCGUGCCAGCAGCCGCGGUAAUACGAAGGGGGCUAGCGUUGUUCGGAAUUACUGGGCGUAAAGCGCACGUAGGCUGAUAGUUAAGUGAGGGGUGAAAUCCCGAGGCUCAACCUCGGAACUGCCUUUCAUACUGGCUGUCUCGAGUCCGGAAGAGGUUAGUGGAAUUCCUAGUGUAGAGGUGAAAUUCGUAGAUAUUAGGAAGAACACCAGUGGCGAAGGCGGCUUACUGGACUGUAACUGACACUGAGGCUCGAAAGCGUGGGGAGCAAACAGG